ACUUCCCACACAGCAGAGGACUCCGAUGCGGAGCCGCGUUCAAGUCACCACAUCCGUGUCACUGUCACAUUCCUUUGGGUUCCACUUGGUGGAUCAGGGUCGCCACCGUGCGCCGCCCCAACUUCUACCGUCAAAACGCGGACCAUAAUCGCAUCCAUAUCUGAUUCACAAACGCGGACGCGCUGUAAAAUCUAACGGACGUUGGUACAGUUUUUGUUGGGGCAGACACGACCGAACAGCGCUCUCCAUAAACAGGUGGAAUUACCUCUGGGUCGGACAGGGCUAGCCAGCUGUAAUCCACCCUGCUACGGUGAUGCCCGCCUGCCUCCCGGCUUUUACGACCAAGAAUCGGAGCGCUGAUGUGAUGUUUCCCCGUCGACUGAUGAGGCAUGAGAGAAGGAAGAGAAGGCAGCCACGACACGCGAUUGUUCAACAUGACAGUGAGACAGAAAAAUAAUGUCAAGAUAAAUAAAAAAUCA
This is a long non-coding RNA of Engraulis encrasicolus (European anchovy), 479 nucleotides long. RefSeq lists it as uncharacterized. The record is from RefSeq and is a predicted model, not a curated record. The transcript has 3 exons. Lineage: Eukaryota; Metazoa; Chordata; Actinopteri; Clupeiformes; Engraulidae.